GACGAACGCUGGCGGCGUGCUUAACACAUGCAAGUCGAACGGAAAGGCCUCUUUCGGGGGGUACUCGAGUGGCGAACGGGUGAGUAACACGUGAGUAACCUGCCCUUGACUUUGGGAUAACUUCAGGAAACUGGGGCUAAUACCGGAUAGGAGCUCCUGCUGCAUGGUGGGGGUUGGAAAGUUUCGGCGGUUGGGGAUGGACUCGCGGCUUAUCAGCUUGUUGGUGGGGUAGUGGCUUACCAAGGCUUUGACGGGUAGCCGGCCUGAGAGGGUGACCGGCCACAUUGGGACUGAGAUACGGCCCAGACUCCUACGGGAGGCAGCAGUGGGGAAUAUUGCACAAUGGGUGGAGGCCUGAUGCAGCAACGCCGGGUGCGGGAUGACGGCCUUCGGGUUGUAAACCGCUUUCGCUCAUGACGAAGCUUUGUGUGACGGUAGUGGGUAAAGAAGCACCGGCUAACUACGUG
Molecule: ribosomal RNA, 467 nt
Filed under: uncultured bacterium
Lineage: Bacteria
Description: partial 16S ribosomal RNA
Rfam family: Bacterial small subunit ribosomal RNA
Source: RNAcentral